This 427-nucleotide ribosomal RNA is filed under the name uncultured bacterium. RNAcentral's name for it is "partial 16S ribosomal RNA". It matches the Rfam family "Bacterial small subunit ribosomal RNA", at positions 355 to 774 of the family's 1533-position model. The record is from RNAcentral.
UGGGGAAUAUUGCACAAUGGGCGCAAGCCUGAUGCAGCCAUGCCGCGUGUAUGAAGAAGGCCUUCGGGUUGUAAAGUACUUUCAGCGAGGAGGAAGGCGUUGUGGUUAAUAACCGCAACGAUUGACGUUACUCGCAGAAGAAGCACCGGCUGACUCCGUGCCAGCAGCCGCGGUAAUACGGAGGGUGCAAGCGUUAAUCGGAAUUACUGGGCGUAAAGCGCACGCAGGCGGUCUGUCAAGUCGGAUGUGAAAUCCCCGGGCUCAACCUGGGAACUGCAUCCGAAACUGGCAGGCUAGAGUCUUGUAGAGGGGGGUAGAAUUCCAGGUGUAGCGGUGAAAUGCGUAGAGAUCUGGAGGAAUACCGGUGGCGAAGGCGGCCCCCUGGACAAAGACUGACGCUCAGGUGCAAAAGCGUGGGGAGCAAACA